CAUCCCCCACAGUGAAGGUGCCAAGAUCAGGACUUAGCUAGAAGCUUUAUUGAUGGGGAAAGCAGACUGGCACACAGCUCCCCCUUCUAGCAUUGCAUUGGCUCUGGAGUGGUGACUUGAGUGAAAACCUGUUUUUGCAGUAUUUGGAGCAGUUUUCAUGUUACUCAAAAGGCACAGAGGGAGCAGAUGCGGAUAGUGUGUAGUCAAUUCUCUGAUCACAAAUAUGAAACUUUCGCCAAAGAUGCCGACUUGACUUUGUGAAGGAAGGCAGAACUGACCAGCUGCAACCCUCCUGCUCACCCACCAUUGAACUCAGCUGACAGAUGGCUUGGCAUUUUUUAGCUGAACAAAUCAACACCAGGGUGAGGAUGUGGGAAGAGAAAGGAAAGUGGACAUAGGAGCAGACUAUGCUGCAAAACAUUCACUUUCACCACGGUAGCAGAAGACUCGCAAGCGUCAUAGGAUUGCAUUCGCACUUUUGGUCACAGUGUCCCACUGGAAGCUUACGUUCAGCUGAUUAUCCACUGCGAUCCCCACAUCCUUUUCAGAGUCACGGCUUCCCAGGAUACAUUCCCCCUUCCUAUUGACAUGGAUACAACGCUGCUUAUAACUUCAGUAACUUCUGUUUAACAUCCUCCAGAGAUACUAGUGGAAAGAUUAUCAUCAUCACCAUAUGAUGAGACUAUAUCAUCUGUUUUUCCCCAAAUACAGAAGAGAAAUUUUAUUGAACAUUUCUGCCUUUUCUGCAUUAUUAUCAAUAAUGUUACCUUUUCCAUCUAGUAAGGCACCAAGACCAUUGUCAGGAUACUUUUUGUUCUUAACGUAUUUUAAAAACUCCUUAUUGUCCUUAACUCUGCUGGAAUAGAUGUCUCUCUAUGUCCCUUUGCUUCCCUUAUCAAUUUUAUGCAGUUCCUAGCUCUGAUUUAUAUUCAUUUCUAUCAACUUCCCCUUUCUUCCAUUUGUUUAUAUAUAACAA
This is a non-coding RNA of Caretta caretta (loggerhead turtle), 976 nucleotides long. NCBI's taxonomy places the organism in Eukaryota, Metazoa, Chordata, Testudines, Cheloniidae. The record is from RefSeq and is a predicted model, not a curated record.